GGGCGCCCAUGUAUGGCUAAGGCUGAGCCUUAGCCGCGGUCGACCCGGGUUCGAAUCCGGACCUGUGGACCUUUGCCGCAUCUCUCUCUCUCUGUUUCCCCUCAUUCCAUGACUCUUAGUCACCAAAAAAAAAAAAAGGUCUAUAGCAUGUUAGGUAUGUUAGGAAUGUUAGCUUAGUAUAGUGCGUGAUGAAAAAAGUCGUGUUAAAAAAAAAAAAAAAAAGUCAAUAGUAUAGCAUGUUAGGUAUGUUAGGAAUGUUAGCCAAGAUAGUGCGUGAUGAAAAGAUUUCGUGAUAAGUCAGGAUGUUAGGAAUGUUAGCCAAGAUAGUGCGUGAUGAAAAGAUUUCGUGAUAAGUCAGGAUGUUAGCAGUGGACUUUUCACCAUCAUUUGAAAAGUAAAUGGUUACGUCACAAUAUAUAGUUUCAGUGCCUUGCUUUUGGCACACUUCAGCACAGUGGAAGCUUGAGAGUAAAACCAGGUCUUCUGGUUCAGGGCCAGUCUCCCAAAUCACUGUACCAACCUGCUGUAUGGAGUAUAAUCAUUUGCAUUGAACACAAUUGUAUGAAUCAUAAAUCUUUAAUAAAUAAAUAAAAUUAAAUGUUAUCAGAUCUCAA
Molecule: long non-coding RNA, 614 nt
Organism: Sebastes umbrosus (honeycomb rockfish)
Lineage: Eukaryota; Metazoa; Chordata; Actinopteri; Perciformes; Sebastidae
Exons: 3
Source: RefSeq, a predicted model, not a curated record